AGUUGCUAGAACACAGGGGGAAAGUGAGAAGAACAGAUAAUGUAAGCUCAGUCUUGGACAAGAUAUGAGUCAGUACUCUAUUUUAUUCUAAAUUUAAUCAAUUGGUUAAAAGUGGCUAAAGAGAAUCAGUUUAUCUCUUCUAUCCAAACUCGCCUUGCAUAUUGUUUUCUAAUGUCGCCUCACAUUUCUCAGUCUCUUCCUCGCUGUGCUGCCAAGUCUCUGCCUCCAAUGUCAUUUCUUUUAUUCCUUCUCCAGACACCGCCUGCCACCUCCACGGAGUUACCAAGUGGUCUGGGUUCGACUCAUCCUUGGGUUCCACCACCACAAAGUUCCCCUUACCAGGAUCGCCAUUGGAAACUCUGCCACAGGACGUAUCACAACAAGGAUUUCACUGUUUGGGUGUUUUUUUGCUACGUGCCACUCUGCCUGAAGAUUUGUCUAUUCACCUUUGGAUUAACCAUCCUCCUGGAGCCUCUUCAUCUUCUAAAAACCUGUAAGCAAAAGAAGAUUUAUUAUUCAUUGCAAUAUUCAUCAUAAACUUCUCAAAUGUUUUGGACUUACCUUGGACUCUUCCCCUCCUUUUCAGAUAGAUGACCACUGCCGCACCUGUAAAUAAAAACACUUGUCCUGUGUCUUCAGUACCACUCACAGUCUGACAUUUUUAAGUUUAUGUCAGAACCUAAGUGUCUAUUCAGGUCAUUAAUUUUUGGUGUUCUGAUACUUUGAUGUGAUCACAUUUACUUCGUUAUUUCUUCACUGCUUUAACGUAUAGUGUUAUAAAAUAGUGAAGACACAAGCGAAGAAAUUUAGUGUAUUCAGACAUAGAAAAAAUUGUGAAUGUCUGGAAAAAAUAUUGAAACCUCAAAUAUAAUUUUAAAGGCAUGGCAUCAGUUUCUUUAGAGGCCCUUCUCACAAAAAGUAAAAUAAAAAAUGUAAUAAAAAAACAA
Molecule: long non-coding RNA, 947 nt
Organism: Austrofundulus limnaeus
Lineage: Eukaryota; Metazoa; Chordata; Actinopteri; Cyprinodontiformes; Rivulidae
Exons: 2
Source: RefSeq, a predicted model, not a curated record